Molecule: ribosomal RNA, 484 nt
Filed under: uncultured bacterium
Lineage: Bacteria
Description: partial 16S ribosomal RNA
Rfam family: Bacterial small subunit ribosomal RNA
Source: RNAcentral
AUUGAACGCUGGCGGCAGGCCUAACACAUGCAAGUCGAGCGGAUGAAGGGAGCUUGCUCCUGGAUUCAGCGGCGGACGGGUGAGUAAUGCCUAGGAAUCUGCCUGGUAGUGGGGUAUAACGUCCGGAAACGGGCGCUAAUACCGCAUACGUCCUGAGGGAGAAAGUGGGGGAUCUUCGGACCUCACGCUAUCAGAUGAGCCUAGGUCGGAUUAGCUAGUUGGUGGGGUAAAGGCCUACCAAGGCGACGAUCCGUAACUGGUCUGAGAGGAUGAUCAGUCACACUGGAACUGAGACACGGUCCAGACUCCUACGGGAGGCAGCAGUGGGGAAUAUUGGACAAUGGGCGAAAGCCUGAUGCAGCCAUGCCGCGUGUGUGAAGAAGGUCUUCGGAUUGUAAAGCACUUUAAGUUGGGAGGAAGGGCAGUAAGUUAAUACCUUGCUGUUUUGACGUUACCAACAGAAUAAGCACCGGCUAACUUCGUG